RNAcentral lists this long non-coding RNA (420 nucleotides) under Monodelphis domestica (gray short-tailed opossum). Its description in RNAcentral is "lncRNA (ENSMODG00000035151.2)". The record is from RNAcentral. Lineage: Eukaryota; Metazoa; Chordata; Mammalia; Didelphimorphia; Didelphidae.
UUUGCUACUAACAGCAAUAAAAUGAUCCAGAACAAUUCUUAAAGACUUAUGAGGAAUGCUAUCUACCACCAGAGAAAGAACUAGAGAAUUGGAAUGCAGAUGAAAGUAAAAAAAAACAAUUGAAUUAAUUGAAGAGUAGGAUCAAGAUCAAGAAGGACUAUAUUCUAUGCUAAUCGGGUCACUUGUGGGGCAUUGUGAAGAGACUGAAAAAAACUGAAGUGUGUAUAAAAGAAGCCUAUCAAGCUGAUGAGAAUUCUCAAUUUCAAAGCACAUGGUGAAUGAUUGUUAGUACCAGGAACAUUGAGGUUGAAGAAGAGAAUGCUCAGGGAGUAUAAAUUCUGUUUUCAAAUACUGUGAUGACUUAAAUGUCAAAGGCUCAGACUUUUCUAAAAAGCCUUAGAAAACAAAACUAGGAUUUCU